This 911-nucleotide ribosomal RNA is filed under the name Apiospora rasikravindrae. Its description in RNAcentral is "eukaryotic LSU rRNA". It matches the Rfam family "Eukaryotic large subunit ribosomal RNA", at positions 32 to 968 of the family's 3401-position model. The record is from RNAcentral. Lineage: Eukaryota; Fungi; Ascomycota; Sordariomycetes; Amphisphaeriales; Apiosporaceae.
ACUUAAGCAUAUCAAUAAGCGGAGGAAAAGAAACCAACAGGGAUUCCCCUAGUAACGGCGAGUGAAGCGGGAACAGCUCAAAUUUGAAAUCUGGCCCUUGGGUCCGAGUUGUAAUUUGCAGAGGAUGCUUUUGGUGCGGUGCCUUCCGAGUUCCCUGGAACGGGACGCCUUAGAGGGUGAGAGCCCCGUACGGUUGGCCACCAAGCCUGUGUAAAGCUCCUUCGACGAGUCGAGUAGUUUGGGAAUGCUGCUCAAAAUGGGAGGUAUAUUUCUUCUAAAGCUAAAUACUGGCCAGAGACCGAUAGCGCACAAGUAGAGUGAUCGAAAGAUGAAAAGCACUUUGAAAAGAGGGUUAAAUAGCACGUGAAAUUGUUGAAAGGGAAGGAUUUAUGACCAGACUUUUUCUAGGGGGAUCAUCCGGUGUUCUCACCGGUGCACUUCCCCUAGUUGAGGCCAGCAUCGGUUUCUGUCGGGGGAUAAAAGCUUCAGGAAUGUGGCUCCCUCCGGGGAGUGUUAUAGCCUGUUGCAUAAUACCCUGACGGGGACCGAGGUUCGCGCAUUGCAAGGAUGCUGGCGUAAUGGUUAUUAAUCACCCGUCUUGAAACACGGACCAAGGAGUCGAACAUUUGUGCGAGUGUUUGGGUGUUAAACCCUCACGCGUAAUGAAAGUGAACGGAGGUGAGAGCCCUUCGGGGUGCAUCAUCGACCGAUCCUGAUGUCUUCGGAUGGAUUUGAGUAAGAGCAUAACUGUUCGGACCCGAAAGAUGGUGAACUAUGCGUGGAUAGGGUGAAGCCAGAGGAAACUCUGGUGGAGGCUCGCAGCGGUUCUGACGUGCAAAUCGAUCGUCAAAUCUGCGCAUGGGGGGCGAAAGACUAAUCGAACCAUCUAGUAGCUGGUUACCGCCGAAGUC